RNAcentral lists this long non-coding RNA (410 nucleotides) under Mus caroli (Ryukyu mouse). RNAcentral's name for it is "predicted gene, 26646 (MGP_CAROLIEiJ_G0004039.1)". Lineage: Eukaryota; Metazoa; Chordata; Mammalia; Rodentia; Muridae. The record is from RNAcentral.
AAUAAAAAGAAAUGUCCAUACUAAAACUCAACGCAUGAAUGUUCAGAGCAAUUACUGGGAAAUACAGAUGACCAGCAGAACACAGUGGUGCAUGCCUGUAACUCCAGGAUGAUCUCUUUUGGUGGUUGGUUGCCCCUGGAUGUCCUGGAACUCACUUUGUAGACCAGGCUGGCCUCAAACUCAGAAAUCUGCCUGCCUCUGCCUCCCAAGUGCUGGGAUUAAAGGUGUGGAUGUCUCGGGUGCUCCGCAGGGGCAUGGUUGGUCGGGCUGCACUCACAAAACGCUGGUAGAAGCGGACCAGCCGCGGUUUCCCAUGGUUGUUGAAAACCAGAAUCGCCUGAAUCAUCUUUACCGGUCCCGCUUCUCUCGGCACCAGCGGCUCCAAGAAUGCACCUUCUUCCGGCACAACA